CCCCGAGGAAGAGAAAUCAACCGAGAUUCCGAAAGUAGCGGCGAGCGAAAUUGGAUUAGCCCUUAAGCUUUUAAUGAUGCAGGUGAAGAGUCUGGAAAGUCUCGCAAUAAAGGGUGAUAGCCCCGUAACCGACACAUCAUAAUCAGUGAAAACGAGUAGGGCGGGACACGUGAUAUCCUGUCUGAAUAUGGGGGGACCAUCCUCCAAGGCUAA
Molecule: ribosomal RNA, 213 nt
Filed under: Vibrio splendidus
Lineage: Bacteria; Pseudomonadati; Pseudomonadota; Gammaproteobacteria; Vibrionales; Vibrionaceae
Description: partial 23S ribosomal RNA
Rfam family: Bacterial large subunit ribosomal RNA
Source: RNAcentral